GGCGUGGAGGCUACACAUGCAGUCGAGCGCUGUAGCAAUACAGAGCGGCGCACGGGUGAGUAACACGUGGGAACGUGCCCUUUGGUUCGGAAUAACUCAGGGAAACUUGAGCUAAUACCGGAUGAGCCCUAACGGGGAAAGAUUUAUCGCCGAAGGAGCGGCCCGCGUUGGAUUAGCUAGUUGGUGGGGUAAAAGCCUACCAAGGCAACGAUCCAUAGCUGGUUUGAGAGAACGACCAGCCACACUGGGACUGAGACACGGCCCAGACUCCUACGGGAGGCAGCAGUGGGGAAUCUUGGACAAUGGGGGAAACCCUGAUCCAGCCAUGCCGCGUGAGUGAUGAAGGCCCUAGGGUUGUAAAACUCUUUCGGCGGGGACGAUAAUGACGGUACCCGCAGAAGAAGCUCCGGCUAACUUCGUGCCAGCAGCCGCGGUAAUACGAAGGGAGCUAGCGUUGUUCGGAAUCACUGGGCGUAAAGCGCACGUAGGCGGAUGUGUCAGUCAGGGGUGAAAUCCCGGAGCUCAACUUCGGAACUGCCUCUGAUACAGCACGUCUUGAGUCCGAUAGAGGUGGGUGGAAUUCCUAGUGUAGAGGUGAAAUUCGUAGAUAUUAGGAAGAACACCGGUGGCGAAGGCGGCCCACUGGAUCGGUACUGACGCUGAGGUGCGAAAGCGUGNGGAGCAAACAGGAUUAGAUACCCUGGUAGUCCACGCUGUAAACGAUGGAUGCUAGCCGUCAGCAAGCAUGCUUGUUGGUGGCGCAGCUAACGCAUUAAGCAUCCCGCCUGGGGAGUACGGCCGCAAGGUUAAAACUCAAUGAAAUUGACGGAA
This 831-nucleotide ribosomal RNA is filed under the name uncultured bacterium. RNAcentral's name for it is "bacterial SSU rRNA". It matches the Rfam family "Bacterial small subunit ribosomal RNA", at positions 38 to 918 of the family's 1533-position model. The record is from RNAcentral.